UUUGUGUAGGUGGGUGGGUUUAUCUGCAAAUGUGGUUACAUGUAGUCCCUUCCUCUUUUCCCCAAGGCCCCUUUGGACGCUGUGAACACCAGUGUUGUGCUGGACUCUCCUACUGGAGCAAACUGGAAUCAGUGGCAAGGACUUUCGCUGGGAUGGUUGAAGGGGGGGGGGUUGGAACAGUGUGGAACUUGCACUUAAACUGAAACGCACUCGACCCUAGUCACUUUCAUGCACCCACACACACCCUCCAACAGGAGUACACUCACAAACAAACACACACACACACAAUCUCUCUCACACAGACAUUAGAGGGAGAUAGUGAUAUGCUGACUUUCUGUGCAGUCCACUCUCCCUCUCUGGUCUUUGUCCCCGUCACCCUCUUUUGCUGGGAUCUGAUAUUGUUCAGUUGGUUGGUUUAUUUUUGGUUCAUUUUGUCAGUCGUGUCCAUUUUCCCUCUCUGGAUUACAGUUGGGUAACUGAAGUGUAUGUAUCUGUUCGUCAGCCUGUCUGUCUUCGUCCAGUAUCCUUUGAGCCCCCUGUAUGACUGAUUAUUUUAGAGCACAGCCCCCCCCCCCGAUAGUACUUCAGGAAUGUGUGCGAUUGCGGGUGGGAUUUGUCAAUGGACUGAAAACUAAACACAAGUUGGAAUCCGGGUGGAUCUGAACUCUUUGGGGUUUUGUGGAAAUGUAAAAAAAUGACUUUAUUCAAGAUAACUCGUGACACUUUCUGGAAACCAGUUGACAGUAAAAAAAAAAAAAUCAUGUGGAUUUUAUGUCAAGUAAUGCAUGACAAUUGCACUUUCUCAAAAAACAAAUUCACUCACACACCAUUUUUUUUUUUAAAAGCCCCAUGUCCUCAAACAUGUUCAGACACACACACAGAAACACUAAAGCUUUCAUUUCUUUCUGGCUCAUACUACAUGCUGGCACUCACGCUUGCCUUGUCAUAUACUGAUGCAAGGACACACACGUGAGCAUAGAAGCAAACUAAUGCACACAAUGGCACAAGCCGGGAGCGAGGAGCCCACGUCCGCACACUUACACCCAGCGCCCCUCUUGUUUUUAAGUUUUAAUAUUCUUUGCAAAUGGUGUGGUGUCUGAUUUUGUGUUUGUCCAAGCAGCUUUUAUUCUGACCUCCGACCCAUCUGUCUCCUGGCAACCUGGUGUUUUGGUUCUUUGUGUAAAUGUAAAGAGCGGCCAUUUUGAAGGUGUAGUGGGGUGUUGAUCUAGGGAAGUCUGGUGUCAAGCAUUCUGACCCAGGCCAAGGACACUUUGUCUGUGUGUGUGUGUGAGAGUGUGUACGAAUGUGUGUGUGCAUGUGUGUACGAAUGUGUGUGUGUGUGUGUGUGUGUGUGUGUGCGCGCGUGUGUGUUCUUUAGGGAGGGAGGCUGGUGGGGACAUUUUAAGGUGACCUGAAGAAGUGUAUCCUGAGUAGUCGCGAUCCUUUGGAGGUAAAAGCAAAUUCAGUUUUGACAAUGACUGUAGUUGUUAUAAUUACUGUAAAUCUUCUCCUUUUACUUUCUUUUUGGUUUUCUUUUCUUUAUCUUUUUUUUUUCUUUUUUUUUUCUUUUUUUACAAUUAACAGAUAUAAAUGAAUCUGUAUGUAUGAAUAAAUAUAUAACUAUAUUAUUAAGACCUGUGUUUUAUUUCACUGAUCAAAUAAAAAAUCUAGUAAAGCUGUUUGUUGACAGAUGCCUUAAAUAGACAGGGAGAGCUGGAGUGUGUAUACAACCCAUAUGUUUUAAAAUGGUAAAACAUCUGAUAUGAAACAGCUCUCUGGCAUUUAAGAUGUGUCUUCUUGCCUGCUUCUCGAAAUGGU
This is a long non-coding RNA of Clupea harengus (Atlantic herring), 1818 nucleotides long. Lineage: Eukaryota; Metazoa; Chordata; Actinopteri; Clupeiformes; Clupeidae. The record is from Ensembl.